GAAUACUCAUAGGUAUGCAACCAAUACGAUGUCCUCAAUGCAAUUAGUAAAGAUGUCAUUGUUUACAUUUCUAGUCGAUGUCCAGUCAAUACACUAAGUCAUCAUCUGUCCACAUGUCAUAGUGAAUACUUAAAGUCAAAUCUGAAGAGACCCACCCGAAGGCUGUCUAUGGCCCUGAGACCCACCCGUAGGCUGUCUGGCCGAUGCCGAGCCUAAUGGCCCCGUGGUAGUCAUCAUCCCCACCCUAGGAAUGAGCCUGGCCCACGGCAAUCCACUUCGGCGCCCAAUCCCGCACGGCGAAUAUGAAUCGCGAUGGCUAUCUCCGGAGUGCCGGCUUGUAGGGAGCGACCCUCACAAGCAUGUGCGAAUGAGCACAAUGGCAAGUAGUCAUAUGUCCUGUCACAAGUACCAAGUCCUCAUGUCUAAUAACAUGGAAUGUAUCGAAUGUCCCAAAGGCCUAUCUCUAUGUCAUUAUGUCUCUAACAUGGAAUAUAUAUAGCAGAUAUACAAUGGCCUAACAUUAUGUCUCUAUGUUGCAGUUUCAUAGUUUACUAGUUUCAAGUGCCUCUUGAUGACACUUAAUGUUACUAAGUCCAAACAUAGUAUAAUGUUUCCAAUACACGAAUAAGAGCUAAUUUAGCAUACUAGACGAGAAUCCCAUUCGUCCAUAUGAACACUCCUCACAUGCAUGAAAAUAACCCUGAUUACUCUACUAUAUAGAGUGAAAUUUAACUUACACAUAAGACAUGCAUUUUAAGUGUUCUAAAAUUCACAUAAAUUCUAAUUAGCAUAGAAAUGCAUUUAAAAUACUUUACAACAAGUAUAGGGAACAUAGGGGCCAUUUUUCCCCUUUCCACGAAGUCAAACCCACCGAUUUUUCGAACUCUUCGUUUCGCCGAACGAAGGUGUCCACUAGCCUCCUAAUACCCUAAGGAUGUAGGAACAAGUGUUAUCCAAACGAAACGAACAACGGAUUGCUCAAACAAUAACCAUUUCGGGAUAGGGUUGAAGAAAACUCACCGAUUGCGAAGGAAGCUCUCACGAUCUCCAAAUGAGAGUUAGAGUCCUUCCAAUCUAACCUAAACAAAGGUUCUAAACCCAUCAAAUAGGUUUCAAAGCCCUCAAAUCAAAAAUCCCCAUUUAUAACCCUAAUAUGCCAAAUCUAGGGUUUCAUCUAGCAUAAUCCAUCAAAAUAUGUACCAAAAGGGAAAUACAUGUUACUAACCUCUCUAGAAGCUCCAAACCAAGUUCCAAGUGCUCUAGGGUUGGAGUUCCUUCCUCUAUCAAGCUCCUAGUCCAAGCUCCAAUGGUGGAAAAGCCUCCAAUCAAGCAAAAAGAACAAAAGAGUGGUUUAAUCCACCAAAACCUAAGCUAAAAGAGGAUCAAAACCAAAUGGAGUAGUGGAGAGGGCAACCCUACCUCUUCCUCUGCUGUUCCAAGCUCAGGGAGAGGUCCAAGGGGCGUGGGUGUUAUAUAGAGUAGCCACAAUCGCAAAAACACCCUGCAGUUCGAACUGCUCAGAAAUUGCACUACAUACCGGUACACGGGCCCGCGUACCGGUACACAACCCACAAAAAUGCCAAACCCGAGCCUCAGGUUCGCUGAGAAGUGCGCUGUGUGCCAGUACGCGAGCCCGUACCGGUACAGCCAUCAACCCCGUACCGGUACAGCAAGCAACCACGUACCGGUACGCGGUCUGCUGAUGCCUACCCGAGAGCUGACCAAAAAUCCGAUUUUUCAGGUUUUGGCGCCAAGCUUAAAACCUCCAUUCUCGGGACUCGAACCAUAGGUUGGAACACUGUCAACGACCCACCAGAAAGUCUGGAAAAGCUCAGAACACAAUCAAUCACUCGAACCCCGCAAUUUGCAAGGUCCAGUGCGUUACAACAAAUAAAGAUCCAAAACCCAUAAUCCACAAAUAAAGAUCCAAAACCCAAAGAUCCAAAAUCCAAAGUCCAUAAAUAAAACCCAAUCAAAUCUACCAAGCCUAUGUCAUCAAAAUACCUCCAACCCAAACCGAAUUCAUGGGCUUUCCAAAUGGGCCCUUUAUUGUGAAUUAAUUCUAUGAAUUAAUUUCCUGGGCUUUCCAGAGGCCCCCUAUCAUGAAUUAAUUCGACAAAUUAAUUUCAUGGGUCUGCCAAAUAGGCCCUUUAUCACGGAAUAAUUCUAUGAAUUAAUUUCAUGGGCCCUCCUUGUCAUAGAUUAAUUUAAUGAAUUAAUGGGCCCUCCAAAUGGCUCCUUAUCAUAAAUUAAUUCAACGGGCUCUCCAAAUGGCCCCUAUCAUGAAUUAAUUUCAUGAAUUCAAUGGACUUUAUAAAUGGGCUCCUAGCAUGAAUUAAUUUUAUGAGUCAGUUUCAUGAACAUCUCGAUUUUAAACGACCAAAACGUCGUUAAACUAAACCCAACGAUCGAAACGUCGUUAAACUAAACCCAACGACCGAAACGUCGGUAAACUAAACCCAACGACCGAAACGUCGGUAAACUAAACCCAACGACCGAAACGUCGUUAAACUAAACCCAACGACCGAAACGUCGGUAAACUAAACCCAACGACCGAAACGUCGUUAAACUAAACCCAACGACCGAAACGUGGUUAAACUAAACCCAAAUCCAAACGACCGAAAUGUCGCUAAACUAAACCCAUAUUCAGACGACCGAAACGUCGCUAAACUAAACCCAAAUUCGAACGACCGAAACGUCGUUAAGCUAAACCCAAAUUCAAACGACCGAAAAGUCGUUAAACUAAACCUAAAACUUCAAUCGACUACCAAGUUGCUAAAUUGAAUAUCCAGUCUUAUAAAAUUUAUGUACAGUUGGGGAAUGCCCUUGCUUAAGCCAUGUACACGGCAAAUCAUAUUAAUAAAAUUUUAUUUGCCUGUUUGGUCUCCUUUAUUAUCAGCAUUUAUAUUUGGUCUCUUAAUCGAGGGUUCCUUAACACCGAAAGUGUGGGGUAAUUAACAGCAGAUUCUUGAGUCUAUUGGAAGCCAUGAAUCUAUAAUCCUGAUUUCAAAAUAAAAUUCAAACAAAUUUUAUCUCUACCAUGAAUGACCACUCGCCCUAGAAACAACCAACGGCGGGGCCGGUUCGUUCGCGACAGACAGUCCCUAUGUUGCAGUUUCAUAGUUUACUAGUUCAAGUGCCCCUUCAUGGCACUUUGGUCCAACAAGUUCAAGCAUGAUUUUUGGUGUUCAUGAAUACAUAAUUUAAGUCAUUUUGAACAUAGAAGACAUGUUUUCCAAUUGUUAACAUGAAUACUUCUCACAUGCAUGCAAAACCCUCAGAAUGCUCUACUAUAUAGAGUGAAAUUUUCAUAAUACAUAUGGCAUGCAUUUUAAGUAUUCUAAAAUUCAUAGAAAUUCUAUCUAGCAUGAAUAUGCAUGAAUUUUAACGUUACGACGAGUAUAACACCCAUAGGGGGCAUUUUGCCCCGGUUUCAUAAAAUCAAACCUACCGAGCUUCAACACAGCUCUUCGAUCGAGCCGACGAAGGUUACCGCCACUCUCCUAGCACCCUAGAGGUAAUACUAAAAGAGUUAAAUGAACCUUACAAUCAACACUAAGCUCAAUCUUUAACCGUCUCAAAAAAAGGGCAAAACUCACCUCUAGUGUGGAAGUCCCUUCUCAAGCUCCAAAGGAGAGCUAGAACACUUCCAAUCCAACCUAAAGGAGGGUUCUAAUCCAAGAGAUUGAGCCCCAAAAGCCCUAAAUCCAAAAUGCCCGAAAUCAACCCUAGGUUCCUAUUCUAGGGUUCAUCUCAAAGGAACCAUCAAAACAAGGAUCUAAAAGAAAGAAACUUGUUACCAACCUCUUGGAAGCUUCAAUCCAAGCCCAAAGUCCACAAGCUCCCAAGAUCUUCCCUCAAAUAAGCUCCAAGUCCAAGCUCCAAGCCUCUACCAAGGUAGAGAUUGCUCCAAAAGGCAAAAAGAAAAGUAAAUCCACCAAAAUCCAAGCUAAAAGGGGGUCAAAUCCAAAUGGGAUGGUGAAGAGGGCUCCCUUACCUCUUUCCCUGCUGGUGCCAAGCUCAGGGAAGGCCCUGGGGGCGUGGGGUGCUAUAUAGAAUAGCAAUAAUCGCAAAAACACCCCUACAGUUCGACCAGUUCAGAUUCUGCCAAAAUGUACCGGUACGCAAGCAAGUGUACCAGUACAAAUCCCACGAAAAUAGCAAACACGAGUCUCGGGUUUGAAAUUCGUCACAUGUGUACCGGUACAACCAUCAACGUGUACCGAUACAAAGUCUGUACCGGUACAACCAUCGACCUGUCACCGGUUACACAGUGUGCAGAGUGCAAUCCGAGGGUAGCCUAAGUCCAUCUCUUUGGUGACCUUAGCACUACAUAAAAUACUACAAUUCUCAGAAUACGAGCCAUAGGUCGGAACACUGUCAACGACCCACUAGAAAAUCUAAAAAAAGCUCAAAACACAGAUCAAACACUCAAACCUCGCAAUUUGCAAAGGUCCAGUGUGUUACAUUUACCCCUCCUAAAAAGGAGUUUUGUCCGCGAAACUCGAAACACAACAUACCUCAAGACUCCAUCUGAAAAAAAUAGGGAUAGCGCUCCUGCAAAGCGCUCUCAAGUUCCCACGUGGCCUCUCGCUCCCCGUGGUUGCUCCAAAGAACCUUCACACACGGAAUAUCCCGAUUCCGCAACUUCCUCACCUCGCGAGCCAAGAUCCUAACGGGCAGCUCCUCAAAGCUCAAAUCUUCACGCAACUCCAAAGGUGUAGCAUCCAACAUAUGAGUCGGGUCGAAUAUGUACUUCCAAAGGACUGAUACAUGAAAGACGUUGUGUACGCCCGAUAGGUUCGGCGCUAGAGCAAGUCUAUACGCUACCGGGCCCACACGCUCCAAGAUUUCAUACGGUCCAAUUAAACGGGGGGCUCAACUUACCCCGCAUCCCGAAUCUCUUGAUUCUUCUAGUCGGCGAGACUUUCAAGAACACAUGGUCUCCAACUUGGAACUCCAAGUCUCGCCGCCGUCGAUCGGCGUAGCUCCUCUGUCUACUCUGUGCCGUCAAAAGUCGCUCCUGAGCAAUACGAAUCAUAUUCUCAGCUUCCUGGAGCACAUCAGGGCCUAAAGCCAAUCUCUCGCCAACUUCACUCCAAUGGAGUGGCGAUCUACACUUCCAUCCAUAUAGUUCUUUGAAGGGCGCCAUCUUGAUGCUUGCUUGAUAACUAUUGUUAUAAGCAAACUCUGCCAUAGGUAGGUGCUGCGAUCAUCCUCCCUGGAAGUCUAUCACACAUGUUCGGAGCAUAUCCUCUAAUGUCUGAAUAGUGCGCUCCGACUGUCCAUCACUCUGAGGGUGGAAUGCUGUGCUGAAAUCCAAUCGAGUGCCUAGGGCGUCCUGCAGACUCCUCCAAAAGUGAGACACAAACCGGGUGUCUCAAUCAGAUACAAUCGAAGUAGGCACUCCGUGAAGUCGCACAAUCUCAUCAAGGUACACUUAUGCGAGCUUCUCCCCAGUCCAAGUCGUAUGUAUAGGUAUGAAGUGCGCCGACUUCGUCAACCUAUCCACGAUCACCCAAAUAGCGUCAUGCCCGGCCUGAGAGCGGGGCAAUCCAGUCACGAAAUCCAUGGUGAUCUUCUCCCACUUCCACACGGGAAUAGGUAAACUUUGAAGUUUUCCCGCGAGCAGUCGAUGCUCAGCCUUCACUUGUUGGCAAGUUAGACAACGAGCUACAAACUCGCCAACAUCCUUUUUCAUCCCGGGCCACCAAUACAGUAAUUUUAAGUCCUUGUACAUCUUGGUGCCUCCCGGAUGUACAGCAUAGGGUGCUCGGUGUGCUUCUUGAAGAAUAUCUUCUUUAAUUUCCGAAUCCGCAGGCAUACACAACCGUCGACGAAAACGCAUGUCCUUGGUCAUUCAAAAGGAAAUUGCCGGUGCAACCAUCAACCAUUUCAUCUUUAAUCCUUUGCAACUCCACAUCGGAAGCUUGCUUUCCUUUAAUUCUAUCCAACAAAAUAGGUUGCACUACCAAGGUCAUCAACCUCAAGGGUGUGUCUGGAGUCACCACCUCUAACUCCAACCGCUUCAUCUACUCGAUCAACUGCGGUUGAGUAACAACAUGCAUCGCUAAGUUUUCCGUCGAUUUCCUACUUAGCGCAUCCGCCACCACGUUAGCCUUGCCCGGGUGGUAGAGAAUCGUCAGAUCAUAAUCCUUUAGUAGCUUCAACCAUUUGCGCUGCCUCAAGUUCAACUCCUUCUGAGUGAAUAAGUACCUCAAGCUCUUGUGAUCCGUGUAUACUUCACACCGCUCGCCAUAAAGAUAGUGGCGCCAUAGUUUCAAUGCAAAGACUACGGCCGCCAACUCCAAGUCAUGCGUCGGAUAGUUCCUUUCAUAUUCCUUCAAUUGGCGAGAAACAUACGCGAUCACCUUGCCAUCCUGCAUCAAAACGCAACCCAAUCCAUUAAGAGAUGCAUCACUAUAAACCACAUACCCUGCUCCAGCAACUGGCAGGGUUAGGAUCGGGGCAGUCGUCAAUCUUUGCUUCAACUCUUCGAAGCUCCUUUCACACGCAUCGUUCCAAAUGAACUUAACGCCUUUAUGCGUAAGCCUCGUGAGGGGAGUAGAUAACUUAGCAAACCCCUCGACAAACCUCUGGUAAUAGCCGGCCAAUCCAAGAAAACUCCGUAUCUCCGUGACGCUCGUCGGUCUCGGCCAAUCCAUGAUAGCCUCAAUCUUCUUAGGAUCCACAGCUAUACCCGAUCCCAAAAUCAAAUAUCCAAGGAAUGCCACCUCUCGAAGCCAAAAUUCACACUUUUUCAACUUGGCAUAAAGCUCAUUUUCCUGAAGUAUUUGAAGUAAAAGCCUCAAAUGUUCCUCGUGAUCCGCAUCACUUCGGGAGUAAACCAAGAUGUCGUCGAUGAACACCACGACGAACCUGUCUAGAUAAGGCUUAAAAACACGAUUCAUUAGAUCCAUAAAAGCUGUUGGGGCAUUAGUAAGCCCGAACGGCAUAAUUGUGAACUCAUAAUGUCCAUACCGUGUUUUAAAAGCCGUCUUCGAUACAUCCUCGGGCUUGAUCCUUAACUGGUGGUAUCCCGACUACAAGUCGAUCUUGGAAUACACACUCGAUCCUUGAAGCUAAUCAAAUAAGUCGUCGAUCCUCGGCAACGGAUACUUAUUCUUGAUCGUGACUUUAUUAAGCUCACGAUAAUCCACACAUAGGCGUAAAGAUCCGUCCUUCUUCUUGACGAACAAAAUUGGCACUCCCCAAGGCGAGACGCUUUGUCUAAUGAAGCCUUUGUCCAACAAAUCCUGCAGCUGUGCCCUCAGCUCCUUCAGCUCUGCCAGUGCCAUCCUAUAGGGUGCCUUUGAGAUUGGGGUAGUCCCAGGGACGAGAUCCACCACAAACUCAAUCUCCCUAUCAGGGGCCAUACCCGGUAGCUCAGCUGGAAACACGUCCUGAAACUCCCGCACCAUCGGGAUAUCCUCAAUCCUAGGGGUGUCAUCAUCGUCCCUCACAACAACACUAGCCAAAUAGGCUAUGCAGCCUCUGCUGAUCAGCUGCCUAGCUCGAGACGAGCUGAUCGUCAUUGCAAAGAGCGAACUUCGGCAUCCUCUAAAUACAACCUCAGUCUGCCCCGGUUCUCUAAAAGUAACCGUGCGAUUCUUACAAUCGAUUGUGGCAUAAUACUUAGUCAGCAAAUCCAUGCCCAAAACCACAUUGAAAUCCCCCAGCUUGCGCAAAGCUAGCAAAUCCACGGGCAUAAUUCAGUCUCCUACCCGAACAGGGCAACUGGGGCAAUACUCUCUAAUAUCCAAAAUGUGAUCGGGUACAACAACAUGUCCCGGAUGUAACAAGAAAAUCAAUGGGAUGCCAUGCAACUCGGCGAACAGCCCAUCUAUGAAUGAGUGUGAUGCACCAGUAUCAAGUAAUCCACGAACUCUAAUGCCAUCAAGUAAAAUGAUACCUGCAACCACAUCCUCGGCUGCUGCCGCCUCCUCGGUCUAAGCGGCAUACAUGCGCCCACUCGGGGCCUGUCGAGAUCCCUGGCUCUGUCGCUGGACGGAUGACCGCCCAGGCUGGUACUGUGUCGAUGGAGUCCCCUGGCUGGCGGCUGGUAGGGCCGGUGCUGAUGCAGUCGACGGUACCGGUGACAAACCUCUCGGGCACUCAGUCCGGAUGUUGCCCUCCUGGCCACACUAGUAGCACCUGCCCACCCGCUGUGGACACUACGGUGGGUAGUGAGGACCACCGCAGAUCACACACUGGGAAGGCCAGCGACGAUCAGAUCCUCCUCGAUGUGCUGCCGAGCCGCGCCCACACUGCUGGCUCCGAGGGUGCUUCGGCGGCCUCCUAGAGUGCGUCUGGCUCGCACCCUCAGCCACGAGCCUCUUACCCUUGCCUUUAUCCAAGGCCUCUCACCUCUCCUGAACAUCUGCCGCACCGCUCUCCAAAAUGAGCGCGCGAUCCACCAUCUCCCGGUAGGUUUGGAGGUUAGAGGAUUGCACAAACUGGAAAAUCGACGGUCGCAACCCUCGCUCGAAGACGCGUGCCUUAUCCUCGUCGUCCCGCAUGACGAAAGGCACGCAGUGCAGAAGCCGAGAAAACUCCCUCUCAUACUCGGCUACAGUCCGGUCUCCCUGGAGCAAGUUGCGCAAGUCUUGCUCCAUCUUCCUCUUGAUGCUGGUCGGGAAGUAGUGUGCCAAAAGAAGCUCCUUGAACUUCUUCCAAGUAAUAGCCGCUAAGUCGGUGCUGGGGUUCUCCUGAAGAUCCAACCACCAGUGAUAGGCCUCGCCGUCCAAGUGGUGAGUGGCGAGCCAAACUCGAUCCCUCUCCUCCACGAAGGUAUCGCGGAAGAGUUUCUCCAUAUGCAUCAACCACUUCUCCACGAUCCAGUGGUCGACCUUUUCUCCGUCAAAGAUUCGGGAACUGCACCUCCUGAAUUCGUUGAGACGCUCCAUCAGUCUGUCCCUCUCCUCUCCAACAACUGUCACGGGAAAAACUGCCCCUGUCGUAGGCACCCGAACUGGCGGUGCCGCAAUCGCCUCCUCCUGUGGUACUGCCGCAGGCGUCGUCCGAGAUGUGUCGAGUGGCGUACGAGCCUAUGUCUCUCUAGCAGUAGCCUGCUGAAGUAGGAGGUCCUCCAAGCGCUUCAUCCGCGCCUCCUAUCGGCGCGCUGCCUCCGCCUCGUAUGCUCGACCCAUGUCACAAUGAGCCGCAAGCUGGCCCCUCAACUCACGGACUUCGUCGGAAUCCUAGGUAGCGGAGGUCUCGACCUCCUCCAAGCGUGCCGCAUUGUCCGCUCCAGCAUAGAGCGUGCGGCAUGUCCUCAACAUCAUAAAAGCGCAAGUUAGCAAAACCCACGCUAUCGAAUCCCCGCUCAAUUAGGUAAAAUCAAAUCAUGCGAAAGUAAAGAAGUGUCUUCACUACUAACUCCGAUGUUACGUUGUCGGCGCCAACGUAACCCUCUGUGUAAGUUAAAGCUAUACAUUUCAAUUUAACUCACUUUCUAGAGUUAUUCAAGAACCCAAUCAUGAUACUUUUGCUUACAAAUCAAUAGACCUUGUCUCUCACGAGCCUAUUUCCUAUAGUCCAACCGGCCUAAGGUUUGCUAGGUACACUAAGACUCAACCCUAGCUCUGAUACCAAAUUAAUCUCUCACGCCCCGGGACCCACGGAAGCCCGCCGGCGGUGCCCAGACCCGCCAUAUGUCUAAAAUAUAUAAGGCGUCUACAAUAAAACGAUAAAUAAAGCAAUAAAAGGAGAACGUCUAGGAAGUAUCAGGCAUAGUACAACUAGAAUUAUUAACAAGGAAGCGAAUAAAAGAUCCAACAACAACUAAUAAAGCCGUAAAGUGGUACAAGAGAUGACUCAAAACAAGUGCUAAACGAGUACAUAGGGGUCUCCUAUACAUGGUACAAAAAUCUCUCCUCUCUACUACAACAAAAGAAAGAGUAAACCACCUUAAGAGCAAGUAGCUCCCCGGUAUCUAGCUAGGCGACCCCUUGCCGCGUCCCGUGCCUCCGCCGGUGCUGAAGGCUUUGAAAUAAAACCAUAAAACAUAGGGCGUGAGAACUAUUAAUUAAUGUUCCCAGUGGGCAAUUACUGACACUCAGCGAAAAGCACCACUAGGCCCAAAAGAGCUAAAAGGUUAAGUAAACAAGUAAAAGCGAUAUGAACGACUGUUAAAUAAACAUGUAAACUUGCUACCACACGAUUGUCUCUACUUAGCAUGAUUUGCAUAAGUAAUGAAGCUACUGUAACAUGUAGAUACAUGAGUGUAACUAACAUAAUGCUCGCAAGCUAAAUAGUACAAUGUCAUUGUUUACUAUUCUAUCGAUGUCCACUUGGCAUGUUAACUACUUAAAGUUUAAAUCUUGUAAGACCCGCUCGAAGGCUGUCUGACCUGAAAACCCACCCGUAGGCUGUCUGCCCGUGCGUGCCUAAUGGCCCCGUGGUAGUCAAACAUCCCCACUCUAGGAAUGAGCCUUGCCACGGCAAUCUACUUCGGCGCCCAAUCCCGCACGGCGAGUAUGUAUCGCAGAUGGUGUCACGCCCCGGGACCCAGCGGAAGCCCGCCCGGUACGUGCCAGACCCGCCAUACGUCUAAAACAUAUAAGGCGUCUAAAAACAACAAUGAUAAAAGCAUAAUAAUAAAGGACAUCUAGGAGUAUCAGAGCAUAAUAAAUAUCUAAAUGCUACAACAAGGGUUAAGGAUAAAACUGUAAAUCCACUAAAUAAACAUAAAGUGAUACAAGGGAAAUCCCAGAUACAAAUGCUAUAGGUAAGAUCAUAGGUGGUCUCCUAUACAUGGAUACAAAACCUCACAUCUCUCUAACUACAAAAAGAAAGAGUAAACCACCUAGGCAAAGUACCGCUCCUCGCUAGCUAGCUAAGCGAUCCCCUGCCGCGAUCCCGUGCCUCCGCCGGGGUGCCGAAGGCUCUGAAAAGUAAACCAUAAAACAGGGCGUGAGAACUAUUAAAAAUGGUUCCCAGUGGGCAAUUACUAGAUUCAGGGAAUGCACCACGAGGCCCAAAGCUACAAAAGAUAUCAGUGAUAAUAAAAAGUAGAAAAGCGAAUGGUAAGUAAAAUCGUAACUUCUACUACAAAUACAGUCUCUACUUAGCAUGAUUUGCAUAUGUAAUAAAGCAACAAUAUCAGAAUGUACAUGGAUGUGUAUGACAUGCAUAAGCAUAGAAAUGCAACUAAUCAAUGUCCUCAAUGCAGAAACAGCAAAGGUGUCAUUGUUUACUAUUCUAGUCCAAGUCACUUUAAUAGUUUUAAAGUUCACAUUGGAUGAUCUGUCACCAAGUCCAAUCAUAUAAGACCCACCCGGAGGCUGUCUGGCCUGCGCCGUGCCUAAUGGCCCCGUGGUAGUCAACAUCCCACUCUAGGAGAUGAGCCUCCCCCACGGCAAUCACGGCGCCCAAUCCCCCGUACGGCGAGCAUAUGUCGCGAUGGCUACUCCGAGUGGCGGCUUGUAGGGACGACCCUCACAAGCAUGUGCGAAUGAGGCACAAAUGGCAAGCAAGCAAUGAUCCGUCUCAAGUACCAAGUCCUCAUGUCUAAUAACAUGGAAUAUAGCAAGUAUCUCAAUGGCCUAUCUCUAUGUCAUCAUGUCUAAUAACAUGGAAUAUAGCAGAUGUACAAUGGCCUAUCAUCAUGUCUCUAAGUUGCAUUUUCAUAGUUUACUAAUUCCAAGUGCCCCUUUAUGACACUUUUGUUCAACGAGUUCCAAGCAUGGCCUUAAUAUGUUCAUGAUGCAUAAUUCACUCAAUUCUAGCAUGGAGACAUAUUCUCAACUUGCAAAACCAAGCACUAUCCACAAUGCAUGCAAUCUACACAUAUAGCUCUACUAUAUGGAGUACAGAUUUUACAAUAUAUGAGGCAUGCAUGUUAAGUGUUCUAACAUUUACAUAAAUCACAUUUAGCAUGAAUUUGCAUUCAAAAAUACUUUACGAAAAGUUUAGAAAGCAUAGGGGCCAUUUUGCCCUAUUUUCAUGAAGUCAAGCCCACCGAUGACAACGAAACUCCUCGUUUGCUCCAACGAGGGUGUCCUCUAGCCUCCUAGUAUCCUAGAGGUAUGAAAACAAGUGUCACCUAACCGAAACGGAUGACGCUAAGCUCAAUCAUUAACCAUCUUGGGCUAGGGUUGGAGAAAACUCACCGAUUGCGAAGGAAGCUCUCUCAAUCUCCAAAUGGGAGCUAGAGUCCUUCCAAUCUAAUCUAAACAAAGGUUCAAAAUCCAUCAAUUUGGUUUCAAAGCCCUCAAAUCAAAAGUCCCCAUUUUUAGCCCCAAUAUGCCAAAUCUAGGGUUUCAUCUCAAGAAAUCCAUAAAAACUCAAAUCUAGAGGGAGAUAACAUGUUGCUUACCUCUUAGAAGCUUCAAACCAAGCUCUAAAUGCUCUAAGUCCAAAGAGCUCUCCUCAAUCAAGCCUCAAACCCAAGCUCCUAGCUCCAACAACGGGGGAGAAGUCUCUAGCCAAGCAAAAGAGAGUUUAAU
This 12449-nucleotide long non-coding RNA is filed under the name Ananas comosus (pineapple). Its description in RNAcentral is "long non-coding RNA (ACOM_LNC034649)". The record is from RNAcentral. Lineage: Eukaryota; Viridiplantae; Streptophyta; Magnoliopsida; Poales; Bromeliaceae.